AGUGAACGCUGGCGGUAGGCCUAACACAUGCAAGUCGAACGGCAGCACAGUAAGAGCUUGCUCUUACGGGUGGCGAGUGGCGGACGGGUGAGGAAUACAUCGGAAUCUACUUUUUCGUGGGGGAUAACGUAGGGAAACUUACGCUAAUACCGCAUACGACCUACGGGUGAAAGCAGGGGAUCUUCGGACCUUGCGCGAUUGAAUUAGCCGAUGUCGGAUUAGCUAGUUGGCGGGGUAAAGGCCCACCAAUGCGACGAUCCGUAGCUGAUCUGAGAGGGUGAUCAGCCACACUGGAACUGAGACACGGUCCAGACUCCUACGGGAGGCAGCAGUGGGGAAUAUUGGACAAAGGGCGCAAGCCUGAUCCAGCCAUACCGCGUGGGUGAAGAAGGCCUUCGGGUUGUAAAGCCCUUUUGUUGGGAAAGAAAAGCAGCAGGUUAAUACCCAGCUGUUCUGACGGUACCCAAAGAAUAAGCACCGGCUAACUUCGUG
Molecule: ribosomal RNA, 492 nt
Filed under: uncultured bacterium
Lineage: Bacteria
Description: partial 16S ribosomal RNA
Rfam family: Bacterial small subunit ribosomal RNA
Source: RNAcentral